CAGGCGGGCUGGAGCCCAACAUGCUGUCGCUGGACCGCGGGAAGUGGUGCGUGCAGUCGCUGCGGUCGGA
RNAcentral lists this non-coding RNA (70 nucleotides) under Rhodella violacea. Lineage: Eukaryota; Rhodophyta; Rhodellophyceae; Rhodellales; Rhodellaceae. The record is from RNAcentral.